GGCAAGACAGGUUUUGUUAACUCCUGUUUCAAAUGAGGAAACUGAGAUUCAGAGGGGCUAAGUGAUUUGCUCAGGAUCAUGUGACUAGCAGAGACAGGAACAAACACUCAAACCACAGCAUUUGCUCUCCAAACCCAAUGCUCCCUAUGUCAGAUGAUGCUGCAUCUCCCCUUCUAUUGACUUCUGAGGCAGCUUGCCAAGAGACUGCAGCCCACCUACCUCCAGGUACCAGCUCUGCUGCCUUCAGCUACCAACAUCCAUGGCGGUGAGUUGGGCUCACAAGGGAGAGUUGCCUCAACAUCCAUCUUCCAGCCAACAAGAUUGUCAUGGAGACAGGUGAAGAAAUGAGUGGAGCUGAUGCCCAGAGCGCAGCCUGUGGGAACAGAGGCUGUGCAUGCAAGCACAGCAGGCCCUUCUCCAGCUGCUCACAAUUCCUCCCAGAGUUCAGAGAAAAGCUCUGGGCCCUUAAACACUUCAGAAUCAGGCAUGUGAAUGUUUGAACCCAGCUCUGCAGUAAAUUUUAACUUCUCUGGACCUCCAAAAUGAGGAAGAGAAUGUUAACAUCACAGCAUAUUUUCAGCAUCAGCUGAGCUGCAGCCACCAUUUAACUGCAACUCCAUGAGGACUCUAAGCUAGAAGGACCCAUCUGGAGCCUUCCUGAAUUCCCGACCCACAGAAGCCAUGAGAGAUGAGGUGGUUGCUGUUGCUCAGUGGCACUGAGUUUCGUGGUGAUUGUCAUCCUGCAGUGGGACCUGGAACAGAGACCCUUGAGGCAGAACCGUUUGCUUUGUUCACCGGCCUUUACUCUGUGGUGAUCACAGUGCCUGGCACAUGCUCCAGAGCCAGGACAGCACCAGCUUCUCCUGCAAGUCACUCACGUCCUCGUGUUUGGAGACAGUUAGAGACUGACAUGGGUUCCAGCUGGUCUUUCUCUUACCACGGUAUGUCUAACCUUCCUUCCCAACUGCUGGCCCUGAUUACCUCAGGCUCAACACCAGAUACAGAGGUAACUUGCCCUGAUGUCACACAAGCAGGGACUCACCCGGUGGGGCUUUCCCCUCUUGCACCUCUAUCUAUCACCGUGAGAAGAGCAUGCUCUGAGCAGCUCCUGGUCCCAGGAGGAAGAUGAGACUCAUGUGGAGCACGGUCACCCCAGCCACUGCAGGCUGAAGCAAAACUGGGCCCCAGACAAGCCGAGGCCCCCAGUGCAAGGAGAACUGUCCAGCCCAGCCCAGCCUGCGUCAGCCAAACACCGGCUGACACACAAUGCAUGAACAAUAAUAAACACUUGUUUUGUUAAAGCCACUGAGGUUUUUUUGUUUGUUUGUUUGUUUUUGCUUUUGUUGUAUGCCCUUGGUAGCCUGGGGAAGCCUACAGAUCCCUUCUCAGAAU
This 1392-nucleotide long non-coding RNA is filed under the name Equus caballus (horse). Its description in RNAcentral is "lncRNA (ENSECAG00000057442.1)". Lineage: Eukaryota; Metazoa; Chordata; Mammalia; Perissodactyla; Equidae. The record is from RNAcentral.